ACAGCAGCCGCCGCGGGAAUACGAAGGGGGCUAGCGUUGUUCGGAAUUACUGGGCGUAAAGCGCACGUAGGCGGAUAUUUAAGUCAGGGGUGAAAUCCCGCAGCUCAACUGCGGAACUGCCUUUGAUACUGGGUAUCUUGAGUAUGGAAGAGGUAAGUGGAAUUCCGAGUGUAGAGGUGAAAUUCGUAGAUAUUCGGAGGAACACCAGUGGCGAAGGCGGCUUACUGGUCCAUUACUGACGCUGAGGUGCGAAAGCGUGGGGAGCAAACAGGAUUAGAUACCCGUGUAGUCCCUGUCUCUUAUAC
This 305-nucleotide ribosomal RNA is filed under the name uncultured bacterium. Its description in RNAcentral is "partial 16S ribosomal RNA". It matches the Rfam family "Bacterial small subunit ribosomal RNA", at positions 508 to 807 of the family's 1533-position model. The record is from RNAcentral.